RNAcentral lists this long non-coding RNA (289 nucleotides) under Nicotiana benthamiana. RNAcentral describes it as "long non-coding RNA (NBEN_LNC025722)". The record is from RNAcentral. Lineage: Eukaryota; Viridiplantae; Streptophyta; Magnoliopsida; Solanales; Solanaceae.
UCUGAAGAUUGGUUUGAGAUGUUGAAAUCAGCAAUUUUUGCUGUAAAAUCAUCAAAGAGUAAGACGUUGCUGGAUCUGACAUCACGAUGAACGAUAGGUGGCUGAACUUUUUCGUGUAGGUAUUCGAGGCCUUUUGCUGCACCAUAGGCAAUUUUAACUCUCUGAUUUAUAGGCGGCUGAACUUUUUCGUGUAGGUAUUCGAGGCCUUUUGCUGCACCAUAAGCAAUUUUAACUCUCUGAUUCCAGGUAAGAACAGGACCUGGCUCAGCACCUUGUACACCUUUUCUAC